This 723-nucleotide long non-coding RNA is filed under the name Astyanax mexicanus (Mexican tetra). RNAcentral describes it as "lncRNA (ENSAMXG00005020723.1)". Lineage: Eukaryota; Metazoa; Chordata; Actinopteri; Characiformes; Acestrorhamphidae. The record is from RNAcentral.
CUAUUCUUAAUAAGAGUUCAAAAGUAGAUCCAUUCUGAUCCCAUUCUAAACCUUCAAUUAAAUUCAAAUAUUAGCUUUUUAUCAACACAAUAAUUUCAUAUCUGUUUCUGUUGUUGUUGUUUGUGUUUAGUUUUGUGUUUUGUAGGUGUAAGGAGGAUGACGAAGAUGAUUGUAAAGUUGGUCCUGAUCUUUGCGCUUCUCGGGUUCUCCGUUGAGCUUGAAAAAGGUGAUAUGGUCAGAUAUCCCGGGCACUGUUCUGUCUACAACCAUUACGCUGUGUAUGUCGGAAAAGGGCUAAAUGAUGCACUGCCUGCAAAGACAGCAGAACAGGAUACGUUUGAAAUGACAAGAGAAAAUAGCUGUGUUUUUGGAAAUCUAAGAGAGAAAUAUGAGGUCUUCAACUAUAUGGAAGAUGGACAGCACGGCCCUGUAGUUCAGCCCAGAUCAUGGGAUGAGAUGGCAAGGAGUAUUACAGAUAUAUAUAAUAAAGGAUGUGGAACCUGGACAUUGGAGAACACAUGUGAACACAUGGCCACAAGGAUUCGUUAUGGUGACAACCACUCAAAGUGCAUGCAGUAUAAAACCUUAGUUCAUCUAUCUUGCUUAAUUACUGAGACCAUCAAAGAAAAAUCCAAACCCGUUCAAAGCCAGCAACACAGACGACGCAGACGAUCUCAAAAACACCCGGCUGCUGUUUAUCCUGCAGUUUAGCCUCACUCAUCU